GACGAACGCUGGCGGCGUGCCUAAUACAUGCAAGUAGAACGCUGAAGGAGGAGCUUGCUUCUCCGGAUGAGUUGCGAACGGGUGAGUAACGCGUAGGUAACCUGCCUGGUAGCGGGGGAUAACUAUUGGAAACGAUAGCUAAUACCGCAUAAGAGUAGAUGUUGCAUGACAUUUGCUUAAAAGGUGCAAUUGCAUCACUACCAGAUGGACCUGCGUUGUAUUAGCUAGUUGGUGGGGUAACGGCUCACCAAGGCGACGAUACAUAGCCGACCUGAGAGGGUGAUCGGCCACACUGGGACUGAGACACGGCCCAGACUCCUACGGGAGGCAGCAGUAGGGAAUCUUCGGCAAUGGACGGAAGUCUGACCGAGCAACGCCGCGUGAGUGAAGAAGGUUUUCGGAUCGUAAAGCUCUGUUGUAAGAGAAGAACGAGUGUGAGAGUGGAAAGUUCACACUGUGACGGUAUCUUACCAGAAAGGGACGGCUAACUACGUGCCAGCAGCCGCGGUAAUACGUAGGUCCCGAGCGUUGUCCGGAUUUAUUGGGCGUAAAGCGAGCGCAGGCGGUUAGAUAAGUUUGAAGUUAAAGGCUGUGGCUUAACCAUAGUACGCUUUGGAAACUGUUUAACUUGAGUGCAAGAGGGGAGAGUGGAAUUCCAUGUGUAGCGGUGAAAUGCGUAGAUAUAUGGAGGAACACCGGUGGCGAAAGCGGCUCUCUGGCUUGUAACUGACGCUGAGGCUCGAAAGCGUGGGGAGCAAACAGG
This 763-nucleotide ribosomal RNA is filed under the name uncultured Streptococcus sp. RNAcentral's name for it is "bacterial SSU rRNA". It matches the Rfam family "Bacterial small subunit ribosomal RNA", at positions 28 to 776 of the family's 1533-position model. The record is from RNAcentral. Lineage: Bacteria; Bacillati; Bacillota; Bacilli; Lactobacillales; Streptococcaceae.